UUGCACAAGGGAUAACAGUGGAAAUCCUUUAUACUUUGUCAGGGUUUUUUAACCCUGACAAAGUAUAAAAGAUUUUAGCGUAUAGCCCGACCACUC
This 96-nucleotide small RNA is filed under the name Flavobacterium sinopsychrotolerans. RNAcentral describes it as "Flavo-1 RNA". It matches the Rfam family "Flavo-1 RNA". Lineage: Bacteria; Pseudomonadati; Bacteroidota; Flavobacteriia; Flavobacteriales; Flavobacteriaceae. The record is from RNAcentral.